ACCCCUGAAAAAAAGGGACAAAGCGGAAAGGAAAAGAAGAAGAUAGGGCAUAAUGAAAAGUAGGUAAGAAGGUAGGGUUUCAGGUAGAAGUUUGGAGUAAAUAAAUAGUUUGGUAAAAUGAGUAAGUUUUAAUGUAAUGUGUACAUAUAGGAAAUACCAAAGGUGGUUUGACAGAUAGCUGACAGGCAUGUGAGUAAGUAAAUGAGUAGGAACAUCUGUUGGCUUAGUGAGUAUGAAUACAUUAAGGACGAUUAAAAGAGUAAAGAUUUUUUUUUAAUUUUCAAUUUCUGAAUCUUUUUUCUGCAGGUUAUUGACCAAUCACCUCAUCUCGUUAGAACAGAAUGUAUGCAAACUCUUGUGCUGAGAAGGGCUCGUAUUCACUGACCUUCCUUGGAAAGAAAGUUGGACGACAUCGUUCUGUGGCUCCUGCAGGGAAACAAUGUGCCUGGGAGUCGGCUAACACCUGUCCUGAUUCUGAUACUCUGGAUUCCAAGAUCCCUAGACGGGUUGCACAGGCACCGCAGAUGCUGGAGGAUUUACCAGGAAGUGUACCACAGUUAAGGGAUGAGAGGCCACACCCACUUCUUCACAGAAACGUACAGUUACACCAGAGUCAGGAAAACACAACAGGGUUUUCUGAGAGGAAAAUAAACAUCAUGACAACAGAGACGAACAAGUUCCUGUGAGAACGAGAUGAAAUACUCCUGAAAUCUUAUAAAAGAAUCUACAAUGAAGGGGCGAUCUAAUGACAAUCAGGAUUUUUUUUUUAUAAACAGGGACUAUGAUGUGGUUUGAUUAUUUGUUCAUAUAAAUAAUUCAUAAAUGACUGUUACGUUUUCUUUACUCUUUUAGAGAUAAAUCUAUAAAUAACUUCCUGAAAAAAUGUAAAACUGUAACAAAUCCAUUAAUAAAAACUUAAAUGUUUUAAGCACA
Cynoglossus semilaevis (tongue sole) is the source of this 933-nucleotide long non-coding RNA. RefSeq lists it as uncharacterized. The transcript has 3 exons. NCBI's taxonomy places the organism in Eukaryota, Metazoa, Chordata, Actinopteri, Pleuronectiformes, Cynoglossidae. The record is from RefSeq and is a predicted model, not a curated record.